RNAcentral lists this ribosomal RNA (308 nucleotides) under uncultured bacterium. RNAcentral describes it as "partial 16S ribosomal RNA". It matches the Rfam family "Bacterial small subunit ribosomal RNA", at positions 505 to 807 of the family's 1533-position model. The record is from RNAcentral.
GAGACAGCAGUCGCCACGGUAAUACGGAGGGUGCAAGCGUUAAUCGGAAUUACUGGGCGUAAAGCGCACGCAGGCGGUCUGACAAGUCAGAUGUGAAAUCCCCGGGCUUAACCUGGGAACUGCAUUUGAAACUGUCAGGCUGGAGUCUUGUAGAGGGGGGUAGAAUUCCAGGUGUAGCGGUGAAAUGCGUAGAGAUCUGGAGGAAUACCGGUGGCGAAGGCGGCCCCCUGGACAAAGACUGACGCUCAGGUGCGAAAGCGUGGGGAGCAAACAGGAUUAGAUACCCGCGUAGUCCCUGUCUCUUAUAC